CCUACGGGGAGCAGCAGUGAGGAAUAUUGGUCAAUGGACGCAAGUCUGAACCAGCCAUGCCGCGUGCAGGAAGACGGCUCUAUGAGUUGUAAACUGCUUUUGUACGAGGGUAAACGCAGAUACGCGUAUCUGUCUGAAAGUAUCGUACGAAUAAGGAUCGGCUAACUCCGUGCCAGCAGCCGAGGUAAUACGGAGGAUUCAAGCGUUAUCCAGAUUUAUUGGGUUUAAAGGGUGCGUAGGCGGUCGGAUAAGUUAGAGGUGAAAUCCCGAGGCUCAACUUCGGAAUUGCCUCUGAUACUGUUUGGCUAGAGAGUAGUUGCGGUAAGCGGAAUGUAUGGUGUAGCGGUGAAAUGCUUAGAUAUCAUACAGAACACCGAUUGCGAAGGCAGCUUACCAAGCUACUUCUGACGUUGAGGCACGAAAGCGUGGGGAGCAAACAGGAUUAGAUACCCUGGUAGUC
Molecule: ribosomal RNA, 460 nt
Filed under: uncultured bacterium
Lineage: Bacteria
Description: partial 16S ribosomal RNA
Rfam family: Bacterial small subunit ribosomal RNA
Source: RNAcentral